ACCGCAGUGCAUGAGCACGUAGAAGAAGUUAAGCUGCUGGGGAGCGAACAAGGCUGGAGCCUCAGUGAUGCUGGUGGAUCAGAUAACUGCUGAAAGUUUUAAACAAACCAGAGCUCUGGCAGGACCUUGCUAGACACUUCAUCCAAACAUAUCAUCUUACAACUCUGAUAAAAGGAUCUGCUGGAUUUUCUUUUGGCUGAGAUAAGACAUUUGUAUUCAUUGAAACCAAUGUUAAUUGGCCUGGAAACAUCACGCUGCUGUGACUCAGCAGAGGACCUUUUUCUGGAGAGGCACUCCACCUGAGGUGUCCCACAGGAGUGAAGCUUCCUUUGUGCUAACAGCUACAAUACAAACACGCGGUGACAGGCAGAUCCAGGCGCAAACCCAUCACAGUUUUGAAACAGUUCAACACCGUUCCUAUUAGCCUUCUGGAAAAGGAAAGCGUAAUGAAAAAACGGUACGUGUGCUUUGCUGUUUUACACUGUGCAACCUUGCUAUGUAUUUGCUGCUUUUCCACCGCUUUGUAGUUUAUAAUAUUCCUAACUGAACAUUUGCACCCAACUUCUUCCUUGUGGACGUAGAUUGUGUUUUAUUUUAUUUUGCCAUUUUGCCAUCUGUAGCAUUUAGCCUUCGUCUGCACAGCUUUUCACAGCAGCCAAUGUGUCACAUAACUUCUCUUACGAGUCUCCUGAAGUCCUGGGGGUCAGCCUGCAAAGUGAAAAAUGCAGAGAUCUAGGAAUGGCUCAGCCAGCUGAAAGUUACGGGAAGGGAAAGGCUCCAGUUUCACUGAAGGGGAAAAAAAAAAAAAAAAAAGAGAAGAAGAAGAAGAAUGGCUCCUUUCAAUGCAGACGGAGGCAGUCUGGCUGAGAGUCAGUGAGGUUUAAAAAUCCAAGAGGUCCAAUAACUGAAAAUCUGUAUAGAUUCAAAGCAAUAUUUUAAAUACCGCACAAGUGUAGAUAAAAAAAGAAAAAAAAAGCAUGUGAUGGUUUUUCCAUCCUCCUGGUGCACAUAGCCAACCACGUCCCAAAACCAGGCAGUAUUUCUUCCCCCUAAAACCCUGAGCAUGUGUGUCUAAGACCUGUCCGUGUCAUCAAAGAAUGAGGGUGAAGAGCUCCUGUUGGACUGACCCCUUUGGUCACUUUUCAGGAUGAUGGCUGGUUGUUUCCAAUCAAAAAUCCACAAGAAGUUACUACUGCUAGUUUGCUGAGAUAGGAAUGUUGCUGUUAUUGUAGCACUGAUAUUCAGCUAGCAAUCCAGCUGCAAUGCCAACACUGGCAUCAAAAGUAUUGUUACUUCUGGUGGCAAGGCUCUGGUUUGUGAUGCCCAUUUCAUGACACAAGAAAGGGCCAUGGGGUCUGCUGAAUGUGGUGCUCGGGGACAUGAUUUAGAGGAGGGUUGUUAGAGUUAGGGUAGUAUGGUUAGGUUGCAGUUGGACUUGAUGAUCUUGAAGGUCUUUUCCAACCUGAGCUAUUCUAUGAUUAUAAGCUGCCUCUCCUUGGGUCUCUCCUUCUGUCUGUUUGCCUUCCUCUCUCUUCUUCUAAUGCUCCUAUUCACUGUUCCAGGUUCUCCCCAUAGUCCCAGACAGGCUCCAAAGCCUUGUAUGAAAACGCAGGGAGAGGGCAAAAGAUCAGUGAAUAAAAGCACUGAGUACUUACCUCUUAGAGCCUGUUAUACUGUCAGCUCAAAGUUAAAGUGCAAUAAAUCUGGUAGUCUCACGUUGGUCCCCCGUGUGCUGCAGUCCACCUCAUAAAACUACUACAUAAUUAAGUACAGUGCAGCACAAUUGGCAGUCUCUGCUCAACGAAGGCCCAGCAGCGAGUGCAUAAACUCACUGCCGGUCCCUGAAGGUGGAUGGUUGAGGUGCUGGGGAGUGGGGGCAGGUGCUGGCUGCCAGUGCAACUUUCCUGUGAGGAGGGGGCAGCUCGGCCUCCCUUCUGCCACUACAGCCCCAUGCUGUGUGUAUUUAAACGGAGAAUAGAGGGGAGUGGGCAGCACGGGUGAUGCUGGGGGGAGUGGGAGCAGCCAUAAGAAGGUGGCGCCAGGGAGAUGGGCAUCACCUGCUGCAGAAACUGGGGCCUCCUUCCUGGGCAGGAAAGUGUCCCUCAUGCUCUGCAUCUGGAUUAUGUGCAGAAAGGCAGGGUGCUGCAAAGUCUCUCCAUUUACGGGUUUAGCACCCGACUUUUCUCUUUAGCAGAAGGAGCCGUGUGACUGUGCAGGACAGAGGAGCACGGCGCUUAUGGGAGUGAGUUAAACCUCUUUUAGGAAAAAAAAAAAAAACAGAAAAAAAGAAAGAAAAAAACGAUGGGGAAAGAAAGGGAAGUGUUUAACCACCAGCUAGGCAGCUAGCUGCAGUAGUGCGUCUGGCCCUAUCCUGCUGGUGCCCUCUAGUGCUUUGCUACCCAGCUGCAGAAAUGAUUUUUGAGCUUGGGAGGAAAUCCC
Molecule: long non-coding RNA, 2439 nt
Organism: Gallus gallus (chicken)
Lineage: Eukaryota; Metazoa; Chordata; Aves; Galliformes; Phasianidae
Exons: 5
Source: RefSeq, a predicted model, not a curated record